Molecule: ribosomal RNA, 2235 nt
Filed under: Listeria cossartiae subsp. cayugensis
Lineage: Bacteria; Bacillati; Bacillota; Bacilli; Caryophanales; Listeriaceae
Description: partial 23S ribosomal RNA
Rfam family: Bacterial large subunit ribosomal RNA
Source: RNAcentral
AUAAGUAACAGGUCGUAGACCCGAAACCAGGUGAUCUACCCAUGUCCAGGAUGAAGGUAAGGUAAUACUUACUGGAGGUCCGAACCCACGCACGUUGAAAAGUGCGGGGAUGAGGUGUGGGUAGCGGAGAAAUUCCAAUCGAACUUGGAGAUAGCUGGUUCUCUCCGAAAUAGCUUUAGGGCUAGCCUCGAGGUAAAGAGUCAUGGAGGUAGAGCACUGUUUGGACUAGGGGCCCUUCUCGGGUUACCGAAUUCAGAUAAACUCCGAAUGCCAUGUACUUAUACUCGGGAGUCAGACUGCGAGUGAUAAGAUCCGUAGUCGAAAGGGAAACAGCCCAGACCACCAGUUAAGGUCCCAAAAUAUAUGUUAAGUGGAAAAGGAUGUGGGGUUGCUUAGACAACCAGGAUGUUGGCUUAGAAGCAGCCACCAUUGAAAGAGUGCGUAAUAGCUCACUGGUCGAGUGACCCCGCGCCGAAAAUGUACCGGGGCUAAACAUAUUACCGAAACUGUGGAUGAACCUCAUUAGAGGUUCGUGGUAGGAGAGCGUUCUAAGGGCGGUGAAGUCAGACCGGAAGGACUGGUGGAGCGCUUAGAAGUGAGAAUGCCGGUAUGAGUAGCGAAAGAAGGGUGAGAAUCCCUUCCACCGAAUAUCUAAGGUUUCCUGAGGAAGGCUCGUCCGCUCAGGGUUAGUCGGGACCUAAGCCGAGGCCGAUAGGCGUAGGCGAUGGACAACAGGUAGAGAUUCCUGUACCAGUGCUAAUUGUUUAACCGAUGGGGUGACACAGAAGGAUAGGGAAUCGCACGAAUGGAAAUGUGCGUCCAAGCAGUGAGUGUGAGAAGUAGGCAAAUCCGCUUCUCGCGAAGCAUGAGCUGUGAUGGGGAAGGAAAUUAAGUACGGAAGUUCCUGAUUUCACGCUGUCAAGAAAAGCCUCUAGGAAGAGUAGUACUGCCCGUACCGCAAACCGACACAGGUAGAUGAGGAGAGAAUCCUAAGGUGAGCGAGAGAACUCUCGUUAAGGAACUCGGCAAAAUGACCCCGUAACUUCGGGAGAAGGGGUGCUCUAUUAGGGUGCAAGCCCGAGAGAGCCGCAGUGAAUAGGCCCAGGCGACUGUUUAGCAAAAACACAGGUCUCUGCAAAACCGUAAGGUGACGUAUAGGGGCUGACGCCUGCCCGGUGCUGGAAGGUUAAGAGGAGUGCUUAGCUUCGGCGAAGGUACGAAUUGAAGCCCCAGUAAACGGCGGCCGUAACUAUAACGGUCCUAAGGUAGCGAAAUUCCUUGUCGGGUAAGUUCCGACCCGCACGAAAGGCGCAACGAUCUGGGCACUGUCUCAACGAGAGACUCGGUGAAAUUAUAGUACCUGUGAAGAUGCAGGUUACCCGCGACAGGACGGAAAGACCCCGUGGAGCUUUACUGCAACCUGAUAUGGAAUGUUUGUACCGCUUGUACAGGAUAGGUAGGAGCCGAAGAGACGUGUGCGCUAGCAUACGAGGAGGCAAUGGUGGGAUACUACCCUGGCUGUAUGACCAUUCUAACCCGCCACGCUUAGCGCGUGGGGAGACAGUGUCAGGUGGGCAGUUUGACUGGGGCGGUCGCCUCCUAAAGAGUAACGGAGGCGCCCAAAGGUUCCCUCAGAAUGGAUGGAAAUCAUUCGCAGAGUGUAAAGGCACAAGGGAGCUUGACUGCGAGACUGACAAGUCGAGCAGGGACGAAAGUCGGGCUUAGUGAUCCGGUGGUUCCGCAUGGAAGGGCCAUCGCUCAACGGAUAAAAGCUACCCCGGGGAUAACAGGCUUAUCUCCCCCAAGAGUCCACAUCGACGGGGAGGUUUGGCACCUCGAUGUCGGCUCGUCGCAUCCUGGGGCUGUAGUCGGUCCCAAGGGUUGGGCUGUUCGCCCAUUAAAGCGGCACGCGAGCUGGGUUCAGAACGUCGUGAGACAGUUCGGUCCCUAUCCGUCGCGGGCGCAGGAAAUUUGAGAGGAGCUGUCCUUAGUACGAGAGGACCGGGAUGGACACACCGCUGGUGUACCAGUUGUUCCGCCAGGAGCAUCGCUGGGUAGCUAUGUGUGGCAGGGAUAAACGCUGAAAGCAUCUAAGCGUGAAGCCCCCCUCAAGAUGAGAUUUCCCAUUUCUUCGGAAAGUAAGAUCCCUGAAAGAUGAUCAGGUAGAUAGGUUUGGAGUGGAAGUGUAGCGAUACAUGGAGCGGACAAAUACUAAUCGAUCGAGGACUUAACCAA